RNAcentral lists this long non-coding RNA (1119 nucleotides) under Chrysemys picta bellii (western painted turtle). RNAcentral's name for it is "lncRNA (ENSCPBG00000024776.1)". Lineage: Eukaryota; Metazoa; Chordata; Testudines; Emydidae. The record is from RNAcentral.
AGUGGUUGUUUGUUAUGUUUAAAAAUCAGUUUUCUUUCAUUCUUCUUCUUACAGUAAAUACCCAGGAAGAUGAUGCAUUGGUAUGAUAUGUCACAUCUGUCAGCAUCACUCACUGGGCAUCCUUAUACAUAAAUUCAUCAAUAUGGUUGCUGAGCUUCUGCCAACUGUGAUUAGGCUUGGGAAAUGAGCCCUGCCACUCUGGACUUCAAUUUAAAAAAAUCAAGAACCAAGAAUCAUAUCAUCCUUAACGGAAACCUUCAGAAAGCAUUCCAGAAGCAGGUGUAACUACUGGAAUGAACUAUGGCUUAUAAGAUCUAUAAGUAUAAAUAAUUAAAAUGCAUGUGUUUGAUUGUUCUCUCCCUGCUGUGGUGUAAAUUAAGAGUAACACCACUGAAGUCAAUGGACUAAAGACAAUGUAAAUGAGAAGAGCAAAAAUGUUCUCUCCUUGAAAAACACAAUUUCCCCCCAAGAAUUCAGUCUUCACCCACUUUGGAUUGCACAUUACAACCACCAUCCAUCUAAAAGGCCAUUUCUAACAGAGGUUUUCAGCGUUACUUAAGAUUCUGAUUUUUAAUAGUGCUGAAUUCUUAUUGAAGAUGAUCACUCAACUCCUCUGAAAAAAAAAAAGUUGUGGUGGAAGAACAUUAUUAAUAGAUGUAUUAGUGGCCCCAGGAUCAUAGGCACAGUGCAAACACAUCGUGAGAAAGUUGUUGUCCCAAUCUAGCAGACAAGACAGAGAGGAAACAGAAGCAAAGAGAGGUGAAGUAGGUGCAACUGUUAAGUCAUUUAUUACUUAGAUAUGCCAGUCCAAAAAAAAAAUUGUCUGUAGAAUUUUAUCAAACACUUUCCUUAAAAUGUGAUUACCCCAGCUAGCCUCAUAUAUGACAAAUUAUCCUGGAAUUAGGUCAGUACUGUAUUUUUAACAACUUUGGCUGCAUAAUAUCUUCUCUAAAAAUUGUGCACCCGACAUCUAGCAGAUCAGAAUUCAGAACAUAUUUGCCUUUCUGUAACAAUCAAUUACUAAAGACCUCUAUCUAAAAGUCAGUUUUGCAAAGAAAAAAUACAGUAAUUAAGCCAAUGUCAUCUUGUUUUCAUAGUGCUCCAACUAGAGGCCAGUAU